UUUUGUUUGUAUGAAUUAUCGUGUCUUCUUUACACGAAACAAUGGAAGAUUUAUUGUCUGAGUGGGAAUGCGUGUUAUUAUUAUGAGAAAUACGAAUUCAUUUCGAGAUUAAAACUCUUGAUUGGUGCGCAUUUUGACGCCGCAU
Molecule: non-coding RNA, 145 nt
Organism: Caenorhabditis elegans
Lineage: Eukaryota; Metazoa; Nematoda; Chromadorea; Rhabditida; Rhabditidae
Source: Ensembl